Molecule: non-coding RNA, 135 nt
Organism: Triticum aestivum (bread wheat)
Lineage: Eukaryota; Viridiplantae; Streptophyta; Magnoliopsida; Poales; Poaceae
Source: Rfam
AAAAUACUCACUCCGUCCCAAAAUUCUUCUUUUAGAUUUAUCUAGAUACGGAUGUACCUAAUACUAAAACGUGACUUGAUUCAUUCGUAUUUAGACAAAUUUAAGACAAAAAUUUUGGGAUGGAGGAAGUAUUAC